Molecule: ribosomal RNA, 253 nt
Filed under: uncultured bacterium
Lineage: Bacteria
Description: partial 16S ribosomal RNA
Rfam family: Bacterial small subunit ribosomal RNA
Source: RNAcentral
UACGUAGGCAGCGAGCGUUGUUCGGAAUUACUGGGCGUAAAGAGUGUGUAGGCGGCGCUCUAAGUUCGGUGUGAAAUCUCUCGGCUUAACUGGGAGGGUGCGCCGGAAACUGGAGUGCUCGAACGUGGGAGAGGAAAGCGGAAUUCCUGGUGUAGCGGUGAAAUGCGCAGAUAUCAGGAGGAACACCGAUUGCGAAGGCAGCUCGCUGGGACGUCACUGACGCUGAGACGCGAAAGCGUGGGGAGCGAACAGG